This 468-nucleotide ribosomal RNA is filed under the name Aeromonas sp. AE152. RNAcentral's name for it is "bacterial SSU rRNA". It matches the Rfam family "Bacterial small subunit ribosomal RNA", at positions 30 to 484 of the family's 1533-position model. The record is from RNAcentral. Lineage: Bacteria; Pseudomonadati; Pseudomonadota; Gammaproteobacteria; Aeromonadales; Aeromonadaceae.
AUUGAACGCUGGCGGCAGGCCUAACACAUGCAAGUCGAGCGGCAGCGGGAAAGUAGCUUGCUACUUUUGCCGGCGAGCGGCGGACGGGUGAGUAAUGCCUGGGGAUCUGCCCAGUCGAGGGGGAUAACAGUUGGAAACGACUGCUAAUACCGCAUACGCCCUACGGGGGAAAGGAGGGGACCUUCGGGCCUUUCGCGAUUGGAUGAACCCAGGUGGGAUUAGCUAGUUGGUGGGGUAAUGGCUCACCAAGGCGACGAUCCCUAGCUGGUCUGAGAGGAUGAUCAGCCACACUGGAACUGAGACACGGUCCAGACUCCUACGGGAGGCAGCAGUGGGGAAUAUUGCACAAUGGGGGAAACCCUGAUGCAGCCAUGCCGCGUGUGUGAAGAAGGCCUUCGGGUUGUAAAGCACUUUCAGCGAGGAGGAAAGGUUGGUACCUAAUACGUAUCAGCUGUGACGUACUCGCAG